This 45-nucleotide non-coding RNA is filed under the name Schistosoma margrebowiei. The record is from RNAcentral. Lineage: Eukaryota; Metazoa; Platyhelminthes; Trematoda; Strigeidida; Schistosomatidae.
AUCCAGCUGACAAGUUCCAAAUAAGACGAAAUACACGUCUUGGAU